GGCACAGGCAUGAAAGAGCCCAGAGCUCGUCGCUGGGGAGAGGCUGCGUAUGGCGUUGUGAAGGGAGAGAUGGAGGAGGGGUUUGAGCAGCGCUGUGCAGGAAUGAACGGCUGGUAAGAGAAGAGGCAGGAGUCGGGCAGCGGUACUGCAGCUCCUCUGGCAGCUUUGCAGCUCAGUAGGGAAGCAGAAGAUGUGGAUGUGAAAGAAGAAGUCCGUUGCUGGGACGUUCCCCUGUUCUUCCCCCAGCUGUCCCCUUGCUUUCCACAAGGCUGCCCUUUCCUUUCUCAUGACAGCCCACCCAUCAUUCCCUCAGAGCCCAUAUAUCCCUCCCAGUGUUUCCCAGCAAGACCCCUAGAGACACCCUGUAGCCCCCCACAGAGCCCUGGAGCCCCUCAAGGACCCCCUCAGACGCAGUACACCUCCCCCAUAGCUGGCCCAUAGCCACAUGGAGCCCCACAGUCCCCAGCAGCACCCCAUGUCCCCCACUGGGCUUCCACGGAAUCCUUCUAUUUCCUCCCUCAGACCUCCUUUACACCUCCAAGAUCCUCCCUGGGAACUCACUAACCCCCAUGUUCCCUGACAGGACCCCCAUCACCAUCCCAGGACCCCCAUAGCCCACCUUUGGCCUCUCCUCCCCCCGACCUGCCUCCAGAUCCCGUACAACCUCACAGUGCUGUGGCAGGGCUGGCUUCUGCAGGAUCCCCAUAGCCCACCAACGAGGAACCCCGCAGCAAUCCACAUCUCAGGAUGGGGCUCCAGCUGUGCACCAAUGCGUUCAUUCAAGAGAGGAGAAUGAAUGAGCGUAAAGGGGGGCCUUUCCUCCUGACGUUGCCCACCGCCUGCGUGUUGGCUGUGCCGUGCCAGCAGCAUUUUGUCCUCGAGCUGUGAGUGCAGAAAACGCCGUCCUUUUGCUGAACUUUGCUCAUUGUACACCCGCCAUCACAGCAAAAAACGCUCAGUGCUGCCCUGGGAAACUCCGCAAUCUCCACAGCGUUGCUCUCCAAGUUAGCACGCUCAUGGCCAGGCUGUGUUCCCUGCAGCUCUUUGCACGUGCUUUGCAGACAGUCUGUCUGUGGGCAGUGCAAAGGACUGCUGCCUCCGUUGCAUCACUGGACGGCAGCAUUCACUGACGGAGCUGUGGCAGUUCUGAGCGAGCGCCGCGAGACCAAUAACGAGGAGGUGGUGCAGCAGCUCUCCGAGUGCCGCUGGACAAAUCAGGCCGUGCGCUCUCUGUGAAUCUAUAAAUUUGACUGGUUUUU
This is a long non-coding RNA of Gallus gallus (chicken), 1259 nucleotides long. RefSeq lists it as uncharacterized. The record is from RefSeq and is a predicted model, not a curated record. Lineage: Eukaryota; Metazoa; Chordata; Aves; Galliformes; Phasianidae. The transcript has 4 exons.